RNAcentral lists this small RNA (310 nucleotides) under Erinaceus europaeus (western European hedgehog). Its description in RNAcentral is "7SK RNA (ENSEEUG00000017724.1)". It matches the Rfam family "7SK RNA", at positions 1 to 256 of the family's 331-position model. From Rfam's summary of the family: 7SK was discovered as an abundant small nuclear RNA in the mid-70s but a possible function has only recently been suggested. Two independent studies have found that 7SK RNA binds the CDK9/cyclin T complex (known as elongation factor P-TEFb). Lineage: Eukaryota; Metazoa; Chordata; Mammalia; Eulipotyphla; Erinaceidae. The record is from RNAcentral.
GGAUGUGAGGGCGAUCUGGCUGCGACAUCUGUCACCCCAUUGAUCACCAGGGUUGAUUCGGCUGAUCUGGCUGGCUAGGCGGGGGGUCCCCUUCCUCCCUCACUGCUCUACGUGCAUCCCUCCCAAAGCUGCGCGCUCGGUCGAAGAGGACGGCCUUCCCAAAAUAGAGACGGACCGGUCUUUGGUCAAGGGUAUACGAGUAGCUGCGCUCCCCUGCUAGAACCUCCCCAAACAAGCUCUCGAGAACUGUAGAAAUAUCUAUUAAAUAUUGCAUACUCGCAAGGACCGACUUAAGGAUCCUGGUUCGAGC